This 712-nucleotide long non-coding RNA is filed under the name Olea europaea (common olive). RNAcentral's name for it is "long non-coding RNA (OEUR_LNC015337)". The record is from RNAcentral. Lineage: Eukaryota; Viridiplantae; Streptophyta; Magnoliopsida; Lamiales; Oleaceae.
AUUUUUAAAUAUUGACUGAUGAACGGAUCAAUAUUGUGAGCGGAGACAGCAAAAUUUCUUUGACGAUUUUAAGAUCAUUAACCAAACAAACGCUAAUUGACAAAAUAGUUAACUAAUAAAGAAACUAGGUUACUAUUUUAGGUAACCAGCAUGUGAAACUUCACGUGAUUUGUUGAUAACCAAAUUGGUCCACACGACCACACCCUUCACAUCAUUUGUAUUUAUUUAUUUUUAAUACUCUCACUUUUUCUUCCUUGCUAUAAAAAUUUAUAGCCGUGAACUGCGAGAAAAGGAGCAAGACGUCAAAUAGAACGAUUUGGACAGGUGGGCUCAACCUUGAUCCAAUUAAAGAGGCUCGACACCGAGCUUAUUGUGUAGAAGUAGACUUGAUCUCAUCGAUCUCGAGCUCCUGAUAUCUUGGAUUACAGGGAUAGGCUCAACCUCAAGUUUAUCUUCCGGGUACCUUAAAGAAAGGAGUCGAUUUGCGGCAUUUUCACCCCUCCAAUGCUAAAAUAGAUUAAUGCAAAGAUAUACGAGAAAAGGAGCAAGACGUCAAAUAGAACGAUUUGGACAGGUGGGCUCAACCUUGAUCCAAUUAAAGAGGCUCGACACCGAGCUUAUUGUGUAGAAGUAGACUUGAUCUCAUCGAUCUCGAGCUCCUGAUAUCUUGGAUUACAGGGAUAGGCUCAACCUCAAGUUUAUCUUCCGGGUA